This 253-nucleotide ribosomal RNA is filed under the name uncultured bacterium. RNAcentral describes it as "partial 16S ribosomal RNA". It matches the Rfam family "Bacterial small subunit ribosomal RNA", at positions 524 to 776 of the family's 1533-position model. The record is from RNAcentral.
UACGGAGGAUGCAAGCGUUAUCCGGAAUGAUUGGGCGUAAAGCGUCCGCAGGUGGUGUUGUAAGUCUGUUGUUAAAGCGUGCGGCUUAACCGCAUACAGGCGAUGGAAACUACAAGACUAGAGUGCGUUAGGGGUAGAGGGAAUUCCUGGUGUAGCGGUGAAAUGCGUAGAGAUCAGGAAGAACACCGGUGGCGAAAGCGCUCUACUAUGCCGCAACUGACACUGAGGGACGAAAGCUAGGGGAGCGAAUGGG